AUGCUGAAACUCUGGAUUUUUUCACUUAUGAUUGUUAUUUAUGUCCAUACUAAAAAAUAAAAAUAAGAACACAUUGUGUACUGGCAUUUAUACACUCCUAUCGUAAUAUAUGGCUCCACUUUUUACUAAGGUAUAAAAGCUGCAUUUGGUUAAGGAAAUCAUGCCUCCAUUUAAUUUUUAUAGAAUCAAAUGUAAUAAGACUUUGUAGUUUGGGUGUUGCCAUCUUUGAUGUUUACAUAAUCACUGUCACUAUAGUAACAGGUCACAAAUAGAAUACUAGUUGCACGUGCUUACUUGAACAUUCUGCUUCCUUUAUGUGUCAUGUGUCAUGGUAAUAGCAUUUUUAAUAGCAUUUUUAUAUGAUAAGACUAGGGAAAACAUGGUUUAAAUCUUUCAUUCUCCGUACAUUCCAUAAAUUGUAAAGUUUGCAGUAUUUCAGGAAAUAAGGGAACAUUUUAUUUUUUGUGAAAACUGAAAUGCAGUAGUUUUAAAUGGAGAAUAUUUGAGACCAAUACAAAAAAAUCCCUGUAGUGGCACCGUGGUAUACCAUUUGUAUGGUAGCCUAAUGGUAUAAAGGCUAUUUUUUGCAGUGUUGUUGGAGAUAUUCUGAAAUUGAAGUCCAACUGAAAACAGCAACAACAAAUAUAAAUGAUGCAUGCAAAGCUGCAAAACAAUGAACAACAUAAUCACAACACAAGACAUCAUUAUAACAUUGUUUCCUGUCAUUCAGUUGUUGGCGCGUUAUUUCUUUCAUCCUCAAAAACGAUGUAGAUCAACAUCAGUCCAUUAAGUGGCAGUAUGCGCACUCAGAUCUGUGAACGGACAGAAGAAGAACUACAUCAAAGAAGAGUCUGAAAGAAUCAUGGAGGUGGAUGAGAAAGAUGCGCCUUCAGGGAAAGAUCCUAAAAAACAGUCGCAGUCUUUAAUUACCGCCCAAACUCCAGCAGAGCAGCAGCGCUUCAAGUUGGAGAAACUGAUGCGUUUACCCUUAACUUUACCUCGGUUUUAUUUGGAGUAAUGAUUCUACUGAACUGUCGCAGAAGCACUGAACACAAACAGUGCUGAGUUUGAUAUUUUUAAAGGCUAAAUCUGCGCCCAUACCAGAGAAACCAGACCAGAGGAGGGGAAUCCACGCGCGAUGUGAUGGGCUCAGAGGAGAAUUCAUCAUCAUCAUCAUCCUCUGCUUCUGAAGCAGAAGAGCCCAGCUUCAUCAUGGGGAAGAGGUGACUGGAUGAAAGGAUCGACUGCUUGAGUCAGAUGUUCAACACUUGAGCUGGACAUAUGAAAAGCUGGAUGUUUGUCUUUGCUGGAUGAUGAUGAAAGAAUGUGAUCAGAAUCAACCUUUAUUCUAUUUGUAAAUAUGUAUUUUAUUUAUUUAAUAAAAAAUAAACUACAAGAGAAAUAAACAA
Molecule: long non-coding RNA, 1409 nt
Organism: Carassius gibelio (silver crucian carp)
Lineage: Eukaryota; Metazoa; Chordata; Actinopteri; Cypriniformes; Cyprinidae
Exons: 2
Source: RefSeq, a predicted model, not a curated record